GCAGUCUGCAACUCGACUGCAUGAAGCUGGAAUCGCUAGUAAUCGCGGAUCAGAAUGCCGCGGUGAAUACGUUCCCGGGUCUUGUACACACCGCCCGUCACACCAUGGGAGUCGGAUAUGCCCGAAGUCAGUGACCCAACCGCAAGGAGGGAGCUGCCGAAGGUGGAGCCGAUGACUGGGGUGAAGUCGUAACAAGGUAUC
This 201-nucleotide ribosomal RNA is filed under the name uncultured bacterium. RNAcentral describes it as "partial 16S ribosomal RNA". It matches the Rfam family "Bacterial small subunit ribosomal RNA", at positions 1300 to 1500 of the family's 1533-position model. The record is from RNAcentral.